UACAGAGGUCUCAAGCGUUGUUCGGAUUCAUUGGGCGUAAAGGGUGCGUAGGCGGCGCGGAAAGUCGGGUGUGAAAUCUUGGAGCUUAACUCCGAAACUGCAUUCGAUACUGCCGUGCUUGAGGACUGGAGAGGAGACUGGAAUUUACGGUGUAGCGGUGAAAUGCGCAGAUAUCAGGAGGAACACCGGUGGCGAAGGCGGGUCUCUGGGCCGAUACUGACGCUGAGGAGCGAAAGCGUGGGGAGCGAACAGG
This 253-nucleotide ribosomal RNA is filed under the name uncultured bacterium. RNAcentral's name for it is "partial 16S ribosomal RNA". It matches the Rfam family "Bacterial small subunit ribosomal RNA", at positions 524 to 776 of the family's 1533-position model. The record is from RNAcentral.